UUUAAAUGGGUAUACUGAGAUGAUGCUUUUUAAAUGGGUUUACUGUGUAGUCCUGUGUAUCACGUAGACUAUACCAUAUUAAGGUAUUUAAGUAUUUAUACUUAAAUACCAUAUUGGUAUUUAAAUGCCAUAUACCAAG
Long non-coding RNA from Alosa sapidissima (American shad), 139 nucleotides. RefSeq lists it as uncharacterized. The record is from RefSeq and is a predicted model, not a curated record. The transcript is spliced from 3 exons. NCBI's taxonomy places the organism in Eukaryota, Metazoa, Chordata, Actinopteri, Clupeiformes, Clupeidae.